RNAcentral lists this long non-coding RNA (722 nucleotides) under Capra hircus (goat). RNAcentral describes it as "lncRNA (ENSCHIG00010013098.1)". The record is from RNAcentral. Lineage: Eukaryota; Metazoa; Chordata; Mammalia; Artiodactyla; Bovidae.
AUGCCACUGAAAAGAGCAGGUGAUCAUCAUGUACCUUUUGGGAAUAUCAAUUGUGGAUCACCUGGAAAAGUUUCAAAGUCACUUCUUAAAUGCAAUUAUGGGACAUCAUUACAGCAAAAUUAUACCCAGUCACAAAUAAGCCUUGUUAAAAAUGAAAUUCUGCAACAGGUCACUUAACUAGGUGUUUUGUUUUGUUUUCUCAUUGGGCAUAGUCACUUUUGCAUUGCAGGCAGAUUCUUUACCAUUUGAGCCACUAGGGAAGCCCUUUCAAUAGAAUCUUGACUUCUAAUCAGAUAAGGUUUACCUAAUUCACAUCUGUUAUGAAGAUAUCUUUGGCAGUUUUAUUUUUAACAUAGGACUUAUUAUGAAAGAUUUGUGGAGAUUAACUAAAUCUAUUCUUUGAGCAAACUGCAGGAGAUAGUGAGAGACAGGGAAACAGGCAUGCUACAGUCCAUGGGGGUCACAAAGAGCUGGACACAAUUUAGUGACCGAACAACAAAAAUGCUUUGCACUAUAUCAGUUUUUGUCUUCUUCCUUACAAAGCUGUUGUUAAAAAGCCUUGACCACUAUGGCUAAGGGGAUAGUCUGACUCAUCUUUUGUACCUUCUAGGCAGUUCCUCCAGAUUCCCUGGUGGCUCAGAUGGUAACAAGUCUGCCUGGGAGACCUGGGUUCAAUCCCGGGGUCAGGAAGAUCCCCUGGAGAAGGAAAUGGCAGCCCACUC